RNAcentral lists this ribosomal RNA (225 nucleotides) under Streptomyces sp. Act15(2015). Its description in RNAcentral is "partial 16S ribosomal RNA". It matches the Rfam family "Bacterial small subunit ribosomal RNA", at positions 1219 to 1442 of the family's 1533-position model. The record is from RNAcentral. Lineage: Bacteria; Bacillati; Actinomycetota; Actinomycetes; Kitasatosporales; Streptomycetaceae.
CACGUGCUACAAUGGCCGGUACAAUGAGCUGCGAUACCGCAAGGUGGAGCGAAUCUCAAAAAGCCGGUCUCAGUUCGGAUUGGGGUCUGCAACUCGACCCCAUGAAGUCGGAGUCGCUAGUAAUCGCAGAUCAGCAUUGCUGCGGUGAAUACGUUCCCGGGCCUUGUACACACCGCCCGUCACGUCACGAAAGUCGGUAACACCCGAAGCCGGUGGCCCAACCCC